This 1534-nucleotide small RNA is filed under the name Pan troglodytes (chimpanzee). Its description in RNAcentral is "retained intron". The record is from RNAcentral. Lineage: Eukaryota; Metazoa; Chordata; Mammalia; Primates; Hominidae.
UUUAAAUAUUAGCCAGGCGUAGUGGUGUGUGCCUAUAGUCCUGCAGCUGUAUCAGGAAGAUCACUUGACCACAGAAGAUGAAAGCUGCAGUGAGCUAGCUAUGAUUGCACCACUGCACGCCAGCCUGGACAACAGAGAGAAACCUUGAAAAACAACAACAACAACAACAAUAACAACAACAACAAAGUGUAGUUAUUAGAAACCUAUUCUUAUUUUAAUUUAGAACAUUAUAAAUAUUUCCAUGUACAUGAAAGUUACUUUUCUUCUGUGGUUAUUACUAGGAUUCUGCUGGAAGAAGUAAGAGUGUUCACCACAUAUUUUCUGUUCAAGAGAAUAAUCAUCUCAGUUUUGAUCCCCUGGCAUCAUUUAUUCUCCGUACUGAUCACUACAUCAUGGCCCGGGUCCUUUUUGUGCUGAUUGUGCUGAGCCAGCUCACCAUUCUCAUUAUUUUUAGAUAUCGAGGAUACCCAGAGCUUAAAGAACCUUCAGGGUUUAUAAAUCUGACCUCAUUUUCUCUUCAUGUCUUGAGCAAAAUAAACAUCUUCUACUAUUCUGUGUUGUUGUUGACCCUGUAUACAGUGCUGGGUCCAUGGUUUUUUGGUGAAAUCAUUGAUGGCAAAUUUGGUUGCUGCUUUUCCUUUGGGAUAUUUGUUAAUGGACAUUUCCUACAAGGCAGCAUAACAUUUAUAAUUGGAAUUCUCCAGCUGGCGUUUUUUAACAUCCCCUUGAUGGCUUACAUGUGUUGGAGCUUGCUGCAGCGGUGCUUUGGUCACAACUUCAGGUCUCAUCUCCAUCAAAGAAAAUACUUGAAAAUUAUGCCUGUUCACCUACUUAUGCUACUGCUGUACAUCUGGCAGGUUUAUUCCUGCUACUUUCUUUAUGCAACAUACGGCACCCUAGCUUUUUUAUUCUCCCCUUUGCGGACCUGGUUGACACUGCUGACACCUGUUCUCAUUCGUUGUGUGUGGACACUGAACUCCACCAAGUUUGGAAUCUUCAUGGUGCAGUUAAAAAGCCACCUGAGCUCCUGAAGGCCAUGUCUCACCACUGGCAGCUGGGCAGAAGCCCAGCCUCUGUGUCUGUAGCCCAGGCCUCUACCCCAGUAGCAGGUGGAGGGCCAGGAUUGGUGGGUGAGCUUUAGGGAGCAGCUGCUCAUUUGGAGUCCUGGACGUUGGAGGGAUUACCCACUACUGAUACCUGCAGAAUGGACUGCAGAAAAGUCUCAAAAAUAAUGCCUUUAUUCCUUCCCUCCCUAAGGAGGCAAAGAGUUGAUUUACCUUUGUGAAGAGAAAACCCUUAUCUAGGACAUCCACAGGGUAGAGGUUGGGUGUGUGUACGGGAGUGUCUGAGGCCCAGUGUGUUUUUUAGGGUUACCCCAUGUAAAGCACUUACCGCUGUGCUUGGAAUUCAGCAGCUGUCAAAGGUGCAAUUUCAGGGGCAGGGAACCUUUGAGGAUCUGGGCCCGACCCUCACUACCCCUGAGAUAUUAGUUCCCAGGCCUGUUUUCCCACAGGAUUGUGGGCUCUCUGCUUCC